GACGGAGGAUUCAAGCGAUAUGCGGAAUUAUAGGGCGAAAAGUGUGCGUAGUAGGUCGGACAAGACCCAUGUCAAAGUAUGGUGCUUAACGCCAUAAAGGCGUGUGAAACUGUCAGACUAGAGUACAGCAGGGGCAGGAGGAAUUCCCGGUGUAGCGGUGAAAUGCGUAGAUAUCGGGAAGAACACCAGUGGCGCAAGCGUUCUGCUGGGCUGUAACUGACAAUGAGGCACGAAAGCUAGGGGAGCGAAAGGG
RNAcentral lists this ribosomal RNA (253 nucleotides) under uncultured bacterium. Its description in RNAcentral is "partial 16S ribosomal RNA". It matches the Rfam family "Bacterial small subunit ribosomal RNA", at positions 524 to 776 of the family's 1533-position model. The record is from RNAcentral.